Molecule: ribosomal RNA, 228 nt
Filed under: uncultured bacterium
Lineage: Bacteria
Description: partial 16S ribosomal RNA
Rfam family: Bacterial small subunit ribosomal RNA
Source: RNAcentral
UGGGUGACCUGCCCUACAGCGGGGAAUAACCCGGGGAAACUCGGGCUAAUACCGCAUACGACCGAGAGGUGAAAGGGGCACGCAAGUGCUCUCGCUGAAGGAGGGGUCCGCGUUCGAUUAGCUAGUUGGUAGGGUAAUGGCCUACCAAGGCGACGAUCGAUAGCCGGCCUGAGAGGGUGAUCGGCCACACUGGAACUGAGACACGGUCCAGACUCCUACGGGAGGCAG